Molecule: small nucleolar RNA, 103 nt
Filed under: Erinaceus europaeus (western European hedgehog)
Lineage: Eukaryota; Metazoa; Chordata; Mammalia; Eulipotyphla; Erinaceidae
Description: Small nucleolar RNA SNORA57 (ENSEEUG00000020527.1)
Rfam family: Small nucleolar RNA SNORA57
About the family: U99 belongs to the H/ACA class of snoRNAs which are thought to guide the sites of modification of uridines to pseudouridines, the target for this family is unknown.
Source: RNAcentral
CCUCCUUUUCUUGGUGGAUAUCGGGUUGCAGUCCCUGUCCGUGUAAUGUACUUAAUGUAUGGAGGCAGAGGACAAGGGCUCUGGGCCCCUUGGCAUUAUAUCA